AACGAACGCUGGCGGCAUGCCUAACACAUGCAAGUCGAACGAGACCUUCGGGUCUAGUGGCGCACGGGUGCGUAACGCGUGGGAACCUGCCCUUAGGUUCGGAAUAACUCCCCGAGAGGGGUGCUAAUACCGGAUAAUGUCUUCGGACCAAAGAUUUAUCGCCUUUGGAUGGGCCCGCGUUUGAUUAGCUAGUUGGUAGGGUAAAAGCCUACCAAGGCGACGAUCCCUAGCUGGUCUGAGAGGAUGAUCAGCCACACUGGGACUGAGACACGGCCCAGACUCCUACGGGAGGCAGCAGUGGGGAAUAUUGGACAAUGGGCGAAAGCCUGAUCCAGCCAUGCCGCGUGAGUGAUGAAGGCCUUAGGGUUGUAAAGCUCUUUUACCCGGGAUGAUAAUGACAGUACCGGGAGAAUAAGCUCCGGCUAACUCCGUG
RNAcentral lists this ribosomal RNA (433 nucleotides) under uncultured bacterium. RNAcentral's name for it is "partial 16S ribosomal RNA". It matches the Rfam family "Bacterial small subunit ribosomal RNA", at positions 29 to 507 of the family's 1533-position model. The record is from RNAcentral.